RNAcentral lists this long non-coding RNA (1298 nucleotides) under Equus caballus (horse). RNAcentral's name for it is "lncRNA (ENSECAG00000059189.1)". Lineage: Eukaryota; Metazoa; Chordata; Mammalia; Perissodactyla; Equidae. The record is from RNAcentral.
AUUUGUUUAGUGUCUGUCACUGCCCACCCUUCCUUCCAGCACACAUGCACCUUAGAGUAUCAACUCAUGAGAAUGGGGACCUUGUCAGUCUUGUUCGUUGAGGAAUCACAAGCUCCAAAGAAAGUACCUGUCACGUGGUUGGUCCUUAAUAGAUCUUUGUUAAGUCAGUGAAGGAGAGAUGAAAUCCCUAAGAAAUAAUAGAUGAAAUCCCUAAGGAAGAGUACAUCAAGUGAGAACAAGAUAAGGACUAAGCUGUUUAGUAUGUCUUCUACCUUCUAUUUUAGAGGUAGAAGGCAGAAGAGGUUCCAGGGAAGGAAACUGAGAACUGAUGAAGAGAAGUAUGAAGAGGAUAGAGUGCAGAAGAGUGGGAGAGGCAUGUGUCAGUCAAGAGUGAUACUCACUGUUGCCUAAGGCUUCAGAAGUUGAGUAGGAGUAACUGAAUUUGGCAACUUGGAGGUUACUGGUAAUUUUGGGGAAAGUAGUACCAAGAGAUGAGUCUGGGAAAACUCAGAUCUUAAGGAAUUGUGCCAUAAAAGGGGAAAGAGAAUUGUGGCAGCAAGGAAAGUCUUUUAUGAAGGUUGACAGUGAAGGGAAGAAGAAAUUAGGAUAUAUCACCGGGCUUUUCAGAGAUAGACUCAUAGAAGACUCUUUUGCCCCCAAGACAGAAGAGACUUGGUGUUUUGAUAUUGAAGGGAAGAAGAAAUUAGGAUAUAUCACCGGGCUUUUCAGAGAUAGACUCAUAGAAGACUCUUUUGCCCCCAAGACAGAAGAGACUUGGUGUUUUGAUAUGUAGGGACAAACUGCUGGAGGGAAAGAGGAGGAAGACUGAAGAAAGUUUAUGAAUUAAGGUCUCAGAACUUAACUGGGAAGGGAUGAGAUCAACUUUCGAAAGGAAGACAAGAAGGAAAGAGGAAUGGACAGAAAAUAGAAAAUUUGAGGCAAAUGGGAACAACAGAAAGGAAUUCUCAUCAGAUUUUGUUUAGUAAAAUAGGUGUCCCGAGUAUCUGCUGAGAAUGCAUGUGUACAGAGCGCUAUGAGAAAUGCAUUGUGAAACAGGGUUGUGUGGUAAGACCUGCCCCACUUCUUUUGCACAUUCUUUGACCCUUUCUUGACUGAAGGUGAGUGGCCAUGCUCCCUGGAAUUGCCUUCCCAAGAGAGUUCUGAAGGAAGAGCUCUUUAGUUCUUGUUCAAACUCAGAUAGGAGACUGGGUCGAGGGCCAGGUAUCUUUUCUCCAUAGGAAAAUUAGGUUCCAAAGACAGGCCUGGGUGCUCUGGAGUUCCCCAGGAUUGAUAUGAGG